GUUUGUUGGAGAUCAAAAAAGCAAGCUAUAAUUGUUCUCUACCAUGGAGGCUGAACUAAUUGCUUUAGCUUCAGCUAGUGAGGAAGCGAAUUGGUUAAGAGAUUUGUUGUUUUAAACUCCUUAUUUUGAAAGACCAAUUCCUCCUAUUUUUAUUCAUUGUGAUAGCACGACUGCAAUUGGUAGAGUUUAAAAUCAUUAUUACAACGGUAAAUCCAGACCUAUAAGGAGGAAA
This 232-nucleotide unclassified non-coding RNA is filed under the name Hevea brasiliensis (rubber tree). The record is from RNAcentral. Lineage: Eukaryota; Viridiplantae; Streptophyta; Magnoliopsida; Malpighiales; Euphorbiaceae.